GUUCAGGCCUUGCCCCUUCCUCACCUGGGUCGGGAGCCGCGCCGGCUCCGGAAGCGCAGAGCCGCUGGUUGGGGCAGCCCUGACAUGAGGCCCCUCGGCCCGCCUGGGCGCUGCCGGUCCCGGGACAGCCUGCGCGGUGACAAGGUCACAGUUAGAGUGGCUCCUGUCCCUUCAGCCCCACCACCCACGCCCCCCUCCGUGCGCUCACCCUGAGGCACCUCCUCCAUUCGGCCGCCUUCGACGUCUGCGCGGUCACCGGAACCCGCCCUUACGUAUUUCCGCCUCCUGGCGCCCAAUCUGACUCUCCAGGCGCGCCAAGUCACACAGCUCCUAGCGAGGGAGCCAGAGUGAUGAACCUGGGCUGUCAUCCGGGAUACGCGGUGCCAAGUGGCCGUGUGCGAGGUGCUGGCGCCACCAAACCGCCCCGAGUCCUGUCGUCCUGGCACCUAGCCUGGUUGGGGCAGCGGAUGACGAAGCAGGUCACCUCUCUGCAUCAUCCCAUGGAAGCAGGUGCUAAUGGCCUGUGGAAUCCGCGGCCUUCUUUCCUGAACACGGCGGCGUGUUCCAGAAGUCGGAGCCCAGUUUGCUGUAUUUAGCAGCGUGGAAAAGUGUGAACGCCGCAAACUGAACCAGACCCAGCAUUUGAAGAAGUCUGUUUACCUCUCCUUUACAUUUAUUUAGUUUGGGGAGUUUGAUAGGUUUUAAAUUUAAAAUUGUUAUUUCUGUCCCCCCGAUUAAAGGUGGCAGCGACUAAAAGCUA
Molecule: long non-coding RNA, 760 nt
Organism: Canis lupus familiaris (dog)
Lineage: Eukaryota; Metazoa; Chordata; Mammalia; Carnivora; Canidae
Exons: 3
Source: RefSeq, a predicted model, not a curated record